RNAcentral lists this ribosomal RNA (556 nucleotides) under Alteromonas hispanica. RNAcentral's name for it is "Bacterial large subunit ribosomal RNA". It matches the Rfam family "Bacterial large subunit ribosomal RNA", at positions 2245 to 2800 of the family's 2925-position model. The record is from Rfam by way of RNAcentral. Lineage: Bacteria; Pseudomonadati; Pseudomonadota; Gammaproteobacteria; Alteromonadales; Alteromonadaceae.
UUGUGGACAGUGUCUGGUGGGUAGUUUGACUGGGGCGGUCUCCUCCCAAAUAGUAACGGAGGAGCACGAAGGUUAGCUAAUCACGGUCGGACAUCGUGAGGUUAGUGCAAUGGCAUAAGCUAGCUUAACUGCGAGACAGACACGUCGAGCAGGUACGAAAGUAGGUCAUAGUGAUCCGGUGGUUCUGUAUGGAAGGGCCAUCGCUCAACGGAUAAAAGGUACUCCGGGGAUAACAGGCUGAUACCGCCCAAGAGUUCAUAUCGACGGCGGUGUUUGGCACCUCGAUGUCGGCUCAUCACAUCCUGGGGCUGAAGUCGGUCCCAAGGGUAUGGCUGUUCGCCAUUUAAAGUGGUACGCGAGCUGGGUUUAGAACGUCGUGAGACAGUUCGGUCCCUAUCUGGUGUGGGCGUUGGAUGAUUGAUGGGAGCUGCUCCUAGUACGAGAGGACCGGAGUGGACGAACCGCUGGUGUUCGGGUUGUCAUGCCAAUGGCAUUGCCCGGUAGCUACGUUCGGAACGGAUAACCGCUGAAAGCAUCUAAGCGGGAAGCCGGCCCA